CAGGCCUCUCCCUUCAGACUCCUCUUCUUAAUAGAUGCUGCCACUUCCCCCUUUCCUCUUCUCCCCGCAGCCCCGGCCCACGCUGACCCUCUCCCAGGCCCCACAGCCUGGCCCUCGCACCCCUGGCUUGCUGAAGGUUCCUGGCUCCAUCGCACUUCCUGUCCAGACACUGGUGUCUGCACGAGCGGCUGCCCCACCACAGCCUUCCCCUCCUCCAACCAAGUUUAUUGUAAUGUCAUCGUCCUCCAGCGCCCCAUCCACCCAGCAGGUCCUGUCCCUCAGCACCUCCGCCCCUGGCUCAGGUUCCACCACCACUUCGCCCGUCACCACCACCGUCCCCAGCGUGCAGCCCAUCGUCAAGCUGGUCUCCACCGCCACCACCGCACCCCCCAGCACUGCUCCCUCUGGUCCUGGGAGUGUCCAGAAGUACAUCGUGGUCUCACUUCCCCCAACAGGGGAGGGCAAAGGAGGCCCCACCUCCCAUCCUUCUCCAGUUCCUCCCCCGGCAUCGUCCCCGUCCCCACUCAGCGGCAGUGCCCUUUGUGGGGGGAAGCAGGAAGCUGGGGACAGUCCCCCUCCAGCUCCAGGGACUCCAAAAGCCAAUGGCUCCCAGUCCAACUCCGGCUCCCCUCAGCCUGCUCCGUGAUGCUCCACCUGCCAGCCCCCGGAUUCCCACACAUGCAGACAUGUACACACGUGCACGUACACACAUGCAUGCACGCUAAGCGGAAGGAAGUUGUAGAUUGCUUCCUUCAUGUCAC
This 761-nucleotide long non-coding RNA is filed under the name Pan troglodytes (chimpanzee). RNAcentral's name for it is "long non-coding RNA NONPTRT016314". The record is from RNAcentral. Lineage: Eukaryota; Metazoa; Chordata; Mammalia; Primates; Hominidae.